Molecule: ribosomal RNA, 465 nt
Filed under: uncultured Enterococcus sp.
Lineage: Bacteria; Bacillati; Bacillota; Bacilli; Lactobacillales; Enterococcaceae
Description: bacterial SSU rRNA
Rfam family: Bacterial small subunit ribosomal RNA
Source: RNAcentral
CCUACGGGGGGCAGCAGUAGGGAAUCUUCGGCAAUGGACGAAAGUCUGACCGAGCAACGCCGCAUGAGUGAAGAAGGUUUUCGGAUCGUAAAACUCUGUUGUUAGAGAAGAAUAAGGAUGAGAGUAACUGUUCAUCCCUUGACGGUAUCUAACCAGAAAGCCACGGCUAACUACGUGCCAGCAGCCGCGGUAAUACGUAGGUGGCAAGCGUUGUCCGGAUUUAUUGGGCGUAAAGCGAGCGCAGGCGGUUUCUUAAGUCUGAUGUGAAAGCCCCCGGCUCAACCGGGGAGGGUCAUUGGAAACUGGGAGACUUGAGUGCAGAGGAGGAGGGUGGAAUUCCAUGUGUAGCGGUGAAAUGCGUAGAUAUAUGGAGGAACACCAGUGGCGAAGGCGGCUCUCUGGUCUGUAACUGACGCUGAGGCUCGAAAGCGUGGGGAGCAAACAGGAUUAGAUACCCCUGUAGUC